GCUUACGGCCACACACCGAAUGCGCCCGAUCUCGUCUGAUCUCGGAAGCUAAGCAGGGUCAGGCCUGGUUAGUACUUGGAUGGGAGACCGCCUGGGAAUACCAGGUGCUGUAAGCU
This 116-nucleotide ribosomal RNA is filed under the name Larimichthys crocea (large yellow croaker). Lineage: Eukaryota; Metazoa; Chordata; Actinopteri; Sciaenidae. The record is from RNAcentral.